AUCGCUUCUCGGCCUUUUGGCUAAGAUCAAGUGUAGAAGUAGUGUGACCUAAAUUCAGAAGGUUUAUUUAAUACUAUAGUAGAUAGGUGUGACUUCUCUUUACUAUAGAAUGCCUGUGUAGACUAAUAAGGCACCUUGCU
Molecule: small nuclear RNA, 140 nt
Organism: Heterocephalus glaber (naked mole-rat)
Lineage: Eukaryota; Metazoa; Chordata; Mammalia; Rodentia; Bathyergidae
Gene: U2
Rfam family: U2 spliceosomal RNA
About the family: U2 is a small nuclear RNA (snRNA) component of the spliceosome (involved in pre-mRNA splicing). Complementary binding between U2 snRNA (in an area lying towards the 5' end but 3' to hairpin I) and the branchpoint sequence (BPS) of the intron results the bulging out of an unpaired adenosine, on the BPS, which initiates a nucleophilic attack at the intronic 5' splice site, thus starting the first of two transesterification reactions that mediate splicing.
Source: Ensembl